RNAcentral lists this ribosomal RNA (2930 nucleotides) under Escherichia coli. RNAcentral's name for it is "23S ribosomal RNA". It matches the Rfam family "Bacterial large subunit ribosomal RNA". Lineage: Bacteria; Pseudomonadati; Pseudomonadota; Gammaproteobacteria; Enterobacterales; Enterobacteriaceae. The record is from RNAcentral.
GGGUUGUGAGGUUAAGCGACUAAGCGUACACGGUGGAUGCCCUGGCAGUCAGAGGCGAUGAAGGACGUGCUAAUCUGCGAUAAGCGUCGGUAAGGUGAUAUGAACCGUUAUAACCGGCGAUUUCCGAAUGGGGAAACCCAGUGUGUUUCGACACACUAUCAUUAACUGAAUCCAUAGGUUAAUGAGGCGAACCGGGGGAACUGAAACAUCUAAGUACCCCGAGGAAAAGAAAUCAACCGAGAUUCCCCCAGUAGCGGCGAGCGAACGGGGAGCAGCCCAGAGCCUGAAUCAGUGUGUGUGUUAGUGGAAGCGUCUGGAAAGGCGCGCGAUACAGGGUGACAGCCCCGUACACAAAAAUGCACAUGCUGUGAGCUCGAUGAGUAGGGCGGGACACGUGGUAUCCUGUCUGAAUAUGGGGGGACCAUCCUCCAAGGCUAAAUACUCCUGACUGACCGAUAGUGAACCAGUACCGUGAGGGAAAGGCGAAAAGAACCCCGGCGAGGGGAGUGAAAAAGAACCUGAAACCGUGUACGUACAAGCAGUGGGAGCACGCUUCGGCGUGUGACUGCGUACCUUUUGUAUAAUGGGUCAGCGACUUAUAUUCUGUAGCAAGGUUAACCGAAUAGGGGAGCCGAAGGGAAACCGAGUCUUAACUGGGCGUUAAGUUGCAGGGUAUAGACCCGAAACCCGGUGAUCUAGCCAUGGGCAGGUUGAAGGUUGGGUAACACUAACUGGAGGACCGAACCGACUAAUGUUGAAAAAUUAGCGGAUGACUUGUGGCUGGGGGUGAAAGGCCAAUCAAACCGGGAGAUAGCUGGUUCUCCCCGAAAGCUAUUUAGGUAGCGCCUCGUGAAUUCAUCUCCGGGGGUAGAGCACUGUUUCGGCAAGGGGGUCAUCCCGACUUACCAACCCGAUGCAAACUGCGAAUACCGGAGAAUGUUAUCACGGGAGACACACGGCGGGUGCUAACGUCCGUCGUGAAGAGGGAAACAACCCAGACCGCCAGCUAAGGUCCCAAAGUCAUGGUUAAGUGGGAAACGAUGUGGGAAGGCCCAGACAGCCAGGAUGUUGGCUUAGAAGCAGCCAUCAUUUAAAGAAAGCGUAAUAGCUCACUGGUCGAGUCGGCCUGCGCGGAAGAUGUAACGGGGCUAAACCAUGCACCGAAGCUGCGGCAGCGACGCUUAUGCGUUGUUGGGUAGGGGAGCGUUCUGUAAGCCUGUGAAGGUGUGCUGUGAGGCAUGCUGGAGGUAUCAGAAGUGCGAAUGCUGACAUAAGUAACGAUAAAGCGGGUGAAAAGCCCGCUCGCCGGAAGACCAAGGGUUCCUGUCCAACGUUAAUCGGGGCAGGGUGAGUCGACCCCUAAGGCGAGGCCGAAAGGCGUAGUCGAUGGGAAACAGGUUAAUAUUCCUGUACUUGGUGUUACUGCGAAGGGGGGACGGAGAAGGCUAUGUUGGCCGGGCGACGGUUGUCCCGGUUUAAGCGUGUAGGCUGGUUUUCCAGGCAAAUCCGGAAAAUCAAGGCUGAGGCGUGAUGACGAGGCACUACGGUGCUGAAGCAACAAAUGCCCUGCUUCCAGGAAAAGCCUCUAAGCAUCAGGUAACAUCAAAUCGUACCCCAAACCGACACAGGUGGUCAGGUAGAGAAUACCAAGGCGCUUGAGAGAACUCGGGUGAAGGAACUAGGCAAAAUGGUGCCGUAACUUCGGGAGAAGGCACGCUGAUAUGUAGGUGAAGCGACUUGCUCGUGGAGCUGAAAUCAGUCGAAGAUACCAGCUGGCUGCAACUGUUUAUUAAAAACACAGCACUGUGCAAACACGAAAGUGGACGUAUACGGUGUGACGCCUGCCCGGUGCCGGAAGGUUAAUUGAUGGGGUUAGCGCAAGCGAAGCUCUUGAUCGAAGCCCCGGUAAACGGCGGCCGUAACUAUAACGGUCCUAAGGUAGCGAAAUUCCUUGUCGGGUAAGUUCCGACCUGCACGAAUGGCGUAAUGAUGGCCAGGCUGUCUCCACCCGAGACUCAGUGAAAUUGAACUCGCUGUGAAGAUGCAGUGUACCCGCGGCAAGACGGAAAGACCCCGUGAACCUUUACUAUAGCUUGACACUGAACAUUGAGCCUUGAUGUGUAGGAUAGGUGGGAGGCUUUGAAGUGUGGACGCCAGUCUGCAUGGAGCCGACCUUGAAAUACCACCCUUUAAUGUUUGAUGUUCUAACGUUGACCCGUAAUCCGGGUUGCGGACAGUGUCUGGUGGGUAGUUUGACUGGGGCGGUCUCCUCCUAAAGAGUAACGGAGGAGCACGAAGGUUGGCUAAUCCUGGUCGGACAUCAGGAGGUUAGUGCAAUGGCAUAAGCCAGCUUGACUGCGAGCGUGACGGCGCGAGCAGGUGCGAAAGCAGGUCAUAGUGAUCCGGUGGUUCUGAAUGGAAGGGCCAUCGCUCAACGGAUAAAAGGUACUCCGGGGAUAACAGGCUGAUACCGCCCAAGAGUUCAUAUCGACGGCGGUGUUUGGCACCUCGAUGUCGGCUCAUCACAUCCUGGGGCUGAAGUAGGUCCCAAGGGUAUGGCUGUUCGCCAUUUAAAGUGGUACGCGAGCUGGGUUUAGAACGUCGUGAGACAGUUCGGUCCCUAUCUGCCGUGGGCGCUGGAGAACUGAGGGGGGCUGCUCCUAGUACGAGAGGACCGGAGUGGACGCAUCACUGGUGUUCGGGUUGUCAUGCCAAUGGCACUGCCCGGUAGCUAAAUGCGGAAGAGAUAAGUGCUGAAAGCAUCUAAGCACGAAACUUGCCCCGAGAUGAGUUCUCCCUGACCCUUUAAGGGUCCUGAAGGAACGUUGAAGACGACGACGUUGAUAGGCCGGGUGUGUAAGCGCAGCGAUGCGUUGAGCUAACCGGUACUAAUGAACCGUGAGGCUUAACCUUACAACGCCGAAGCUGUU